This 77-nucleotide transfer RNA is filed under the name bacterium. RNAcentral's name for it is "tRNA-Val". It matches the Rfam family "tRNA". Rfam says of the family: Transfer RNA (tRNA) molecules are approximately 80 nucleotides in length. Their secondary structure includes four short double-helical elements and three loops (D, anti-codon, and T loops). Further hydrogen bonds mediate the characteristic L-shaped molecular structure. tRNAs have two regions of fundamental functional importance: the anti-codon, which is responsible for specific mRNA codon recognition, and the 3' end, to which the tRNAs corresponding amino acid is attached (by aminoacyl-tRNA synthetases). tRNAs cope with the degeneracy of the genetic code in two manners: having more than one tRNA (with a specific anti-codon) for a particular amino acid; and 'wobble' base-pairing, i.e. permitting non-standard base-pairing at the 3rd anti-codon position. The record is from RNAcentral. RNAcentral also lists the same sequence under 1 other name.
GGGCUGUUAGCUCAGUUGGUUAGAGCACUACCUUCACACGGUAGGGGUCGCUGGUUCGAGUCCAGCACAGCCCACCA